UGUAAUUUCCCCACGAUUUUUUAAGACGCUCAUCCAAAGGUCAGUGAUUCCAUCGAACACAAUAUGUGAAAUUGAUGACGCAGAUGUAACUGUGGGAACAAUUAAUAUUGAAAUCAAUACGAGAUUGAAAGUUUCACCUGCGUCGCUUCAGAUUACCCUACCCCCUCCAUUUACCGGCAAUUGAAUCCCCCUAUCCCUAUAAAUUGAAGCCACUUUAAGCCUAUUUUUGUGUGUUGUACCAUUCGUCCUUCAAGCAAUUGGCGUUUCGAAGCAAGAUUGAUUUGGAAUUAGGCUAUGGAGGAAGAAAUUUAGAUUAUUUUGCAGUUGUGAUUUUAUAAGCAGAAGCGUUUGCCAGGUCGAGGAGGUUUAUUCUUUUGAUCUUGAUUCGCUAAACUGGAUUAGGUUAAUCUUUAACAAAUGAUCUUCGGUACAGUUUAUCUUUAUUAUUUCAUCAUUUUGUCGUUAGUUAUUCAUGGUUUAAUCUUUUCUUAUUAAUAGUUUGUUUGUGUCAUUUCUUUUUGCGAUGCGAUGAACCUUAACUUUUGCGUUACAGGGAUCUUUUUAACCAGCUUUAUUGAUUGGUUCUCACGCUUACUGAUAAGAAAAUCACUAAAUUAUAGAGCAUGUUAAUUUGUGCUUCCUUUUAGCAAUAGUUUGUUGAACAUAAAUAUUCGAGUACUGAUUUUGUGCACGCGCUAUUUUGGCCUUAUGAAAACAGAGUAAAUUAGUACUUUUGUGGGUGUGAUUCCACCAGGUAUUUAUUCAGGGGGAAGGUGAGUAGGUUAAUGCUGUUUUCGAAUUAUUUUUUGGGUGGGCUUUCGUCUAUCUCAAAUUGUUCCUUGCUUUUUCGAAUUCGACUUGAAGAUAAUUUGUUUUCAGGUGAUAUUGAUUUGUAUUUUAGGAUUCUUAGUGAUAUUUCUUAUGUUGAUUUAUCUGGAAAUAGGUUUACUGGUGGGAUUCCUUAUGAUAUAUUUCAUGCUUUAUGUCUUGAGCAUUUUAGCGUGUCAAAUAAUCCGAAUCUUGGAGGGAUACUUACUGAAAAAGCAUGGUCAUUGCCGGUUCUUCGCAAUUUUUCGGCCUCAUCAUGCAAUAUUUCCGGGAAUUUCCCUGAGUUUUCGUUCUGUAAGUCGUUAUCGUUUAUCGAUUUGAAUGGGAAUCACUUAUCGGGAAGUAUCCCGGAAAGCAUUUCGGUUUGUGAGAAUCUCGAAACGUUAAAUUUCGUUGGAAAAUAAUUUAUCCGGUGAGAUACCAGUGAAGUUAGGAAGCUUGAUGAAGUUGAAGUUUCUUAAUCUGUCGUAUAACGAUCUUUCGGGUUCGAUCCCAAACGGAAACACGUUUAAAACGAUGGAUAAAAAAGUUGGGUAGCUAACCACAGGCACAAGAUCUUAUCUGAGAACUUAAAAUCCCAAUUAAGAGGUCCCCAAUGAGACUAAGGCUAAUAUAGUUUCGUUAAAAGCCAAGACGAUUUAGGACAUCAGAAACUUAAGGUUAAAAAAGGGGUUUGGCAUGUGAUUAACAAUCUGUAGGUGUGAGAUCUGGCCUGUUACCUUUGGUUUCACUCGCUGAAAUUGGAAUUAUUUAACACGAAUCCUGUUGUUGUGAACCUUUUUUAGAUUUGACCAGUUUUUUUAAUGAGCAAACUAUGAUUUGAAGAUGUUUUGAAACAUGAUUUAAGUGGAAGGCUUCUUAGCGUAAAGUCGUAAAAAAAGUUAGACAGGUCAGACGUGUUCACGGUGGAUAGUAUCAAAAGGCAGCUGCAAAGGAUCAGAUUACCGGUCCCGGAUUACAAAUUUAGUUGGAAUAACUAGGUCCCCAAGAAGAUAUCGAUAGUGGCAUGAAGAGCUGAGAAGAAUCGCCUACCGACAAUGGAUGUUCUAGCCAGGAGUAUAUAUUGCAUCUCAGAUCUACGUGCUUUCUGUGGGGAGGUUGAAGAGUCAUGCGAGCAUACUUUUGUUUCAUGUUUCUUCGUACAAUCCUUGUGGUAGGUUAUUGGUCAAUGGUGCAAAGUGCAAGGGAUUUAUGCCUUUAGUUUACGGGAUCUCCUGGGAUUACAUGACUCCAUCAACGAGUCAAAAAAGAAGAGGAAAGCUUUUCAUUCCAUUAUUUUGACAGCAAUCUGGUGUGUUUGGCGAAUGCACAAUGAUGUAGUGUUUAAUCGGGCGCUGGUGUCAUUAGCGAAGGCGGUUGAAGAAACAAUGGCCAUGAGCAUGCUUUAGGUGAAACACAGAGCCAAAGAGUAGUCGAUCACAUGGAACAAGUAGUGAUCUUUUAUGGGCUUUGAAACCGGUUAACUUAGUCGAUCACAUGGAACAAGUAUCGAUCUUUUAUGGUCUUUGAAACCUGUUAAGUUCUGUUUUUGUGGUGGCAAUUGAGUUAAUGUGCUUUGUACUCA
Helianthus annuus (common sunflower) is the source of this 2392-nucleotide long non-coding RNA. RefSeq lists it as uncharacterized. The transcript has 2 exons. Lineage: Eukaryota; Viridiplantae; Streptophyta; Magnoliopsida; Asterales; Asteraceae. The record is from RefSeq and is a predicted model, not a curated record.